This 555-nucleotide ribosomal RNA is filed under the name uncultured Armatimonadota bacterium. Its description in RNAcentral is "bacterial SSU rRNA". It matches the Rfam family "Bacterial small subunit ribosomal RNA", at positions 495 to 1045 of the family's 1533-position model. The record is from RNAcentral. Lineage: Bacteria; Bacillati; Armatimonadota.
GGCUAACUACGUGCCAGCAGCCGCGGUAACACGUAGGGGGCGAGCGUUGUCCGAAGUUACUGGGCGUAAAGCGCGCGUAGGCGGUCCUUUAAGUCUGGUGUGAAAGGUUCACGGCUCAACCGGAACAGUGCACUGGAUACUGGGGGACUUGAGUCUGGAAGAGGAAAGCGGAAUUCCUGGUGUAGCGGUGAAAUGCGUAGAUAUCAGGAGGAACACCGAUGGCGAAGGCAGCUUUCUGGUCUAAGACUGACGCUGAGGUGCGAAAGCGUGGGGAGCGAACGGGAUUAGAUACCCCGGUAGUCCACGCCGUAAACGAUGAGUGCUAGGUGUUCGGGGUAUCGACCCCCCGGGUGCCGUCGCUAACGCAUUAAGCACUCCGCCUGGGGAGUACGGCCGCAAGGUUGAAACUCAAAGGAAUUGACGGGGGCCCGCACAAGCGGUGGAGCAUGUGGUUUAAUUCGUCACUAACCGAAGAACCUUACCCAGGCUUGACAUCGCGUGUAAGGCUGUGAAAGCAGUCCCCUCUCGCAAGAGAGCACAAAGACAGGUGUUGCA